UGUAAAAGUUGCAUGGUUUUUAUGAGGGAC
This 30-nucleotide non-coding RNA is filed under the name Mus musculus (house mouse). The record is from RNAcentral. Lineage: Eukaryota; Metazoa; Chordata; Mammalia; Rodentia; Muridae.